UGGGGAAUUUUGCGCAAUGGGCGAAAGCCUGACGCAGUAACGCCGCGUGGAGGAUGAAGGCCUUCGGGUUGUAAACUCCUGUCAGGAGGAACGACGGGGGUAGGAUGAAUAAUUCUAUCUCCCAGACGGUACCUCCAAAGGAAGCCCCGGCUAAUUCCGUGCCAGCAGCCGCGGUAAUACGGAAGGGGCAAGCGUUGUUCGGAAUCAUUGGGCGUAAAGGGCGCGUAGGUGGUCUUGUGUGUCUAUCGUGAAAGCACACGGCUCAACCGUGUAAAGUCGGUGGAAACUGCAGGACUUGAGGUUGGGAGGGGCUGGUGGAAUUCCCUGUGUAGCGGUGAAAUGCGUAGAGAUGGGGGAGAACACUUGUGGCGAAGGCGGCCAGCUGGACCAAUCCUGACACUGAGGCGCGACAGCGUGGGGAGCAAACAGGAUUAGAUACCCCGGUAGUCCCUGAGCGGGCUGGCAAGGCGCAU
RNAcentral lists this ribosomal RNA (473 nucleotides) under uncultured bacterium. RNAcentral's name for it is "bacterial SSU rRNA". It matches the Rfam family "Bacterial small subunit ribosomal RNA", at positions 355 to 825 of the family's 1533-position model. The record is from RNAcentral.